UACGGAGGGGGCAAGCGUUAUUCGGAAUUAUUGGGCGUAAAGAGCUCGUAGGCGGUUCGUCGCGUCGGCUGUGAAAUCCCGAGGCUCAACCUCGGGUCUGCAGUCGAUACGGGCGGACUGGAGUUCGGCAGGGGAGACUGGAAUUCCUGGUGUAGCGGUGAAAUGCGCAGAUAUCAGGAGGAACACCGGUGGCGAAGGCGGGUCUCUGGGCCGAUACUGACGCUGAGGAGCGAAAGCGUGGGGAGCGAACAGG
RNAcentral lists this ribosomal RNA (253 nucleotides) under uncultured bacterium. RNAcentral describes it as "partial 16S ribosomal RNA". It matches the Rfam family "Bacterial small subunit ribosomal RNA", at positions 524 to 776 of the family's 1533-position model. The record is from RNAcentral.